AUGGAGCCAGCGCUCAUCGACCACUCCCGCCGGCCGCGCAACAGCCACAAGGUCAUCGCGUCCUCCCCUGCGCUGGAGCACCAGGCGUACCUACUCCACCAGCACGCUGUGGUGGUCACGGCGGUCCGCACCACUGCGCACGCGGCCAACCCCCUAUCCAUUGUCCGCGCGCUAGAGAAGGAGUUCAAGAUCCCGCCCCACCUGCUGCGCGUCACCAACCAUGACCCCAAAGAUUUCUUCGUCUUCUUCACCAUGCCCGCCCACAAGAACCUCGUGGUGCAGCGAGGCUCGCUGUCCGUCGACGGCGUGCCGUUCCUGCUUGAGCCAUGGCGGGAGGACGCCCACGCCGUCCGCCUCAAGUGGAUGCUGCAUGUGCGUGUGGUCAUCGAGAAGCUGCCCAUGACCCUCUGGACGCUGGAGGGCGCGGUGGCGGCCAUUGGCGACAAGGUGAUCGUGGAUCGGCUGGACAGCCGCACGCAGGAGCGCGCCGACACCAAGCUCUUUGCGUGGGGCGGGCCACGUCAACGAGAUGCUGGGCUACUCCCCCCCCCGAGCCGCGCGGUGGCGCCUCCCCCCGAGCUGCUGCAGUACGACCUCCUGCUACACCUCGACCGCGUUGAAGACUGGACCCCGCUCUCACCACGGUCAUCCCGUUCGCCCCAGAGCGGCAUUCCCUCAGACGACGACGAGCCUGACGAGCGCCCAUACCCCCGCGUCGAGCCGGGUGUCUGGACGCCGCAGGUGGAAGAUGGCAGACGUGGCCCUGAGCCAGCAUUGUCCAUGCGCUCGCAGCCCCGUGUGGCGGCCACGGGCUGCCGGGGCAUGCCUUCUGGCGAGGCCAGGCGCGACUGCAACGAAGAUGACCCCGGCUACAAGCGGCGCCACUCACCUUCACAAAUGAAGACGGCGAGGGCAGCGAUGAAACCCUGGACCUGGGGCCUGCCCUCUCCCUUGCAUGCCACACCCCCAGGCGGCACGCACGCGCUGCAACUUGGCGAGGUCACCCAGAAGGUCACGGAGAUGCAGCUGCAGGGCGCAGACAAAGACCUGGCGAUGCAGCCCCUCUUCAGCCCCCUCCCCCGUGCGGUGAUCGGCAAAUCGCCGGCCCGUGACAAGACGCCAGCCAAGGCAAGAGCUACCCCGAAGCCAACUAGGCAGAGUGCCAGGCAGGCCAACAACCCCUCAACGAUUCCGGUCUCGCAGAGGGCCACGCUCCGCAUCAUGCACGAGCUGGGGAUCCUUGGUCCAAAGGAAAAGAUGACGGCUCAGGCGGUCGAAGCUCUCAUCCGCCGCUUCGACGAGCCGCUCUCGGACACCGACAUUGCUGCCAUCGCCAAGCUCACCGGCCUUGACGUCCGCGCACUCAAACUCAUUGCGGGGCCAAAAGACCAGGAUAGUGAGGCCCCGGGGCCGUCCGUUGCGCCAUGCCAGUAG
RNAcentral lists this ribosomal RNA (1434 nucleotides) under Triticum aestivum (bread wheat). RNAcentral's name for it is "partial small subunit ribosomal RNA". Lineage: Eukaryota; Viridiplantae; Streptophyta; Magnoliopsida; Poales; Poaceae. The record is from RNAcentral.